RNAcentral lists this ribosomal RNA (431 nucleotides) under Arthrobacter sp. Its description in RNAcentral is "bacterial SSU rRNA". It matches the Rfam family "Bacterial small subunit ribosomal RNA", at positions 21 to 453 of the family's 1533-position model. Lineage: Bacteria; Bacillati; Actinomycetota; Actinomycetes; Micrococcales; Micrococcaceae. The record is from RNAcentral.
GGCUCAGGAUGAACGCUGGCGGCGUGCUUAACACAUGCAAGUCGAACGAUGAACCUCACUUGUGGGGGGAUUAGUGGCGAACGGGUGAGUAACACGUGAGUAACCUGCCCUUGACUCUGGGAUAAGCCUGGGAAACCGGGUCUAAUACUGGAUACGACCUUCUGGCGCAUGCCAUGUUGGUGGAAAGCUUUUGUGGUUUUGGAUGGACUCGCGGCCUAUCAGCUUGUUGGUGGGGUAAUGGCCUACCAAGGCGACGACGGGUAGCCGGCCUGAGAGGGUGACCGGCCACACUGGGACUGAGACACGGCCCAGACUCCUACGGGAGGCAGCAGUGGGGAAUAUUGCACAAUGGGCGCAAGCCUGAUGCAGCGACGCCGCGUGAGGGAUGAAGGCCUUCGGGUUGUAAACCUCUUUCAGUAGGGAAGAAGCCG